CGGGUGCACUGAUCCAGCCGGGCCUUUCCCUCUGUGGACCCAUGGCUUCACUGGCUGUGGUGGGGGAAACAGGACUUUACUUGAAAAUUAGAGUGCUCCAGCAGGCCUAUGCUCGAAUACAUUAGCAUGGAAUAUAGAAUAGGACGUGUGUUCUAUUUUGUUGGUUUCUAGGACCGCGUAAUGAUUAUAGGGACAGUCGGGGGCAUCAGUAUUCAAUUGUCAGAGGUGAAAUUCUUGGAUCUAUUGAAGACUAACUACUGCGAAAGCAUUUGCCAAGGAUGUUUUCAUUGAUAAGGAACGAAAGUUAGGGGAUCGAAGACGAUCAGAUACCGUCGUAGUCUUAACUAUAAACUAUGCCGACUAGGGAUCGGACGAUGUUAUUCUUUGACGCGUUCGGCACCUUUCGAGAAAUCAAAGUGCUUGGGCUCCAGGGGGAGUAUGGUCGCAAGGCUGAAACUUAAAGAAAUUGACGGAAGGGCACCACCAGGGGUGGAACCUGCGGCUUAAUUUGACUCAACACGGGGAAACUCACCAGGUCCAGACACAGUGAGGAUUGACAGAUUGAGAGCUCUUUCUUGAUUCUGUGGGUGGUGGUGCAUGGCCGUUCUUAGUUGGUGGAGUGAUUUGUCUGCUUAAUUGCGAUAACGAACGAGACCUUAACCUGCUAAAUAGCCCGUACUGCUUUGGCAGUUCGCCGGCUUCUUAGAGGGACUAUCGG
RNAcentral lists this ribosomal RNA (718 nucleotides) under uncultured eukaryote. RNAcentral describes it as "SSU rRNA". It matches the Rfam family "Eukaryotic small subunit ribosomal RNA", at positions 671 to 1426 of the family's 1831-position model. The record is from RNAcentral.